Molecule: ribosomal RNA, 38 nt
Filed under: Erebia serotina
Lineage: Eukaryota; Metazoa; Arthropoda; Insecta; Lepidoptera; Nymphalidae
Description: partial 28S ribosomal RNA
Source: RNAcentral
UUGGCCUCAGAUCAGGGAGGAUCACCCGCCGAAUUUAA